Molecule: non-coding RNA, 148 nt
Filed under: Pycnococcus provasolii
Lineage: Eukaryota; Viridiplantae; Chlorophyta; Pseudoscourfieldiophyceae; Pseudoscourfieldiales; Pycnococcaceae
Source: RNAcentral
CGAUGUCCGAUGAAUUUUUCUGUUGAAACGGUAUUUCUAGAAGGAAUUUUAGGAAUUCUUUUUCAUAAAAUCUUGCGUUCGUUCUAGGGUAGCAAUACAGCAAGACACGCAUAAACAGGAAAAAGUCCUUGGAUCGCGUCGUGCGUUG